Molecule: ribosomal RNA, 253 nt
Filed under: uncultured bacterium
Lineage: Bacteria
Description: partial 16S ribosomal RNA
Rfam family: Bacterial small subunit ribosomal RNA
Source: RNAcentral
UACGUAGGGGGCUAGCGUUGUCCGGAAUCAUUGGGCGUAAAGAGCGUGUAGGCGGCCUGGUAAGUCCGCUGUGAAAGUCGGGGGCUCAACCCUCGAAUGCCGGUGGAUACUGUCGGGCUAGAGUGCGGAAGAGGCGAGUGGAAUUCCUGGUGUAGCGGUGAAAUGCGCAGAUAUCAGGAGGAACACCGAUUGCGAAGGCAGCUCGCUGGGACGUAACUGACGCUGAGACGCGAAAGCGUGGGGAGCAAACAGG